This 775-nucleotide ribosomal RNA is filed under the name uncultured Neocallimastigales. Its description in RNAcentral is "partial large subunit ribosomal RNA". It matches the Rfam family "Eukaryotic large subunit ribosomal RNA", at positions 24 to 649 of the family's 3401-position model. The record is from RNAcentral. Lineage: Eukaryota; Fungi; Neocallimastigomycota; Neocallimastigomycetes; Neocallimastigales.
UUAUCUCUGUAGAGUCUGCAUAUCAAUAAGCGGAGGAAAAGAAACUAACUAGGAUUCCCUUAGUAACGGCGAGUGAAGCGGGAAGAGCUCAAAUUUGAAAUCUUCAAGGUUCUACCUUGACGAAUUGUAGUUUAUAGAAGUGUUUUCUGUUGGAGUUUUGGUAAAAGUUCUUUGGAAUAGGACAUCAUAGAGGGUGAGAAUCCCGUAUUUGACCAUUUCUUCCAGCUGUGUGAUACACUUUCAAAGAGUCGGAUUGUUUGGGAAUGCAGUCCAAAAUGGGUGGUAAAUUUCAUCUAAAGCUAAAUAUUGGCGAGAGACCGAUAGCGAACAAGUACCGUGAGGGAAAGAUGAAAAGAACUUUGAAAAGAGAGUUAAACAGUACGUGAAAUUGUCAAAGGGGAAGCGUUUGACACCAGUGUUGUUUUCUCGAAAAUCAAUUAAAAAUGGCCGGAUUUUGUGUUGUAUUGACUUUAUCAGCUUUCUGCACUUUUUUCUUGUCUUUUUCAAUGCACUUUUCGUUUAACAAGUCAACCUCAAUUUCUUUUGUUGUAAAAGAGUCAUUGGAAGGUGGCUUUCACUUCGGUGAAAGUGUUUAUAGCCUUUGACUUCUGCAAUCGGAGAGAUUGAGGUCUGCAGCGUAGAUCCUUCGGGGUUAGAUACAUUUGUGCUAAGUUAUAGUUUUUCAUAGACAACAUGUUGACUAUGAUUAGUCAUGUAGCUUACUCGCUUAUGCUAUUUUACCUACGCUUAGGAUGUUGAGUAGCGACAUACGCAC